This 68-nucleotide transfer RNA is filed under the name Marmota monax (woodchuck). Its description in RNAcentral is "tRNA.Val". The record is from RNAcentral. Lineage: Eukaryota; Metazoa; Chordata; Mammalia; Rodentia; Sciuridae.
GGGCUAUAGCCCAGUGGUAGAGCACUUACCUCACAUGCAUGAGGUCCUGGGUUUGAUCCUCAGGACCA